GCAAUGAGGGGUACAUUGCUUGGAAGCUGAAAAAUAUGCAGCGCGAGCUCAGCAGUGGCAGUAGGAGAAGCAGCUCCAGUAGGGAUCCAUCAAGCAACUAGAGGUGUUGCAGGACUUCGAGCUCCUUUUUGGAGAUGAUAUUUCUACCAAACCUCUGGAGAAGUGGGGAACUUUGAAGCCGAAAAUCAUCAAGGAAUCCAAGAACCUUACUAAAACACCGGUGUUGGAUUCCCUUAUCCGGUCUGCAGAGGAGAACCAAGUUGAAGAUGAUGAUUUGCCAGCUUGGGAUAGUGAGAUGGUGGCACUGUUCCUGUUGGUUUUUCUUCUGCCUCCAAGUGGGAAGAAGAGAGUGGUCAAGAUCACAGUUCUGGAAAGCUAUGAAUCAUGUAGUCAGAUUUCACAAGGU
Long non-coding RNA from Alosa sapidissima (American shad), 406 nucleotides. RefSeq lists it as uncharacterized. The record is from RefSeq and is a predicted model, not a curated record. The transcript has 3 exons. Lineage: Eukaryota; Metazoa; Chordata; Actinopteri; Clupeiformes; Clupeidae.